This is a long non-coding RNA of Neofelis nebulosa (Clouded leopard), 852 nucleotides long. RefSeq lists it as uncharacterized. The transcript has 3 exons. Lineage: Eukaryota; Metazoa; Chordata; Mammalia; Carnivora; Felidae. The record is from RefSeq and is a predicted model, not a curated record.
GUGAGGUGGGCCCCUGGCUCACACCACACCAAAUGAGCUGCGACAGCCACCUACAGGGACAGGGCACAGAGGGGUAGAGUUCACGGUGCUCACGCAACUCCAAGUGUGGGUUUUCCUCAAGACUGGCUGCGGAUUCCCCCACAUCAUCGCACCCCUCUCAGCCUUCCUGGCCCCAUGGCCCCAUGGCCAGGUUUACCUGUCCAAUUCACUCCUGUGACUCUUCCUUUCUGGAGGCUUCCUGAGCCUUCAAGGGGCCUGCAUCUGCCAGCCCUGUGUCCAUUAGUGAAGGAACGAAUGUGAAAAGCCAAUGGCCUGAAGCAGAGCCAACCAGCCCAGGCCUACCAGCUACCCCACCUUCCAGGUUGGCAAAUGACCUGCAGAAUGACUGCACUCACGGGGGCGCUUCUGCGGUAAGAGGGCAGGCGGAUGGAAGGAGCGAGUGACCUAGAGGAUCUGGCGUGCCCAGACCCCAAGUAUUCAUAGGAAGAAAUGCACACGGUGACAUAAUAGGAUGUUAGAGCCCCGCAGGCUACAAUGCGGCACCACCACCGUAAUCAAGAAUUAUGACACUACCUCUUCUCAAGUCCUUCCUUGGAGGCUCCCCUGUGUCCAGCGGCUCUGCCUAGCCUCCAAGACUCAGUUCAGGGGCUCCUUUCUUAAGAACCUCUUCCUCAUCUGCUCUCCAAACAAGGAUGCCCGCAGCCAUACUUGGAAAGCCCAGCAAGAAACAGAGCAAACGCAAGGUGAUUCCCGCACCUGCUGAGCUAAGGAACAAACUUCACCUGUGGUCACGUGCCCUGUCUCAAAACCCACCCCAGGAGAAAAAAAACACAAGGAACCCAGUGACACCAA